This 275-nucleotide ribosomal RNA is filed under the name uncultured bacterium. RNAcentral describes it as "partial 16S ribosomal RNA". The record is from RNAcentral.
CUGCUGCCUCCCGUAGGAGUCUGGUCCGUGUCUCAGUACCAGUGUGGGGGACCUUCCUCUCAGAACCCCUACGCAUCGUCGGUUAGGCGGGCCGUUACCCCGCCUACUGCCUAAUGCGCCGCAUGCCCAUCCCUGUCCGGCCGAAGCCUUUCCUGCCUCCGGGAUGCCCCGGUGGCAUGUACGCGGGUUUAGCCCGCCUUUCGGCGGGUUGUCCCCCUGACAGGGGCAGGUUGCAUACGUGUUACUCACCCGUGCGCCGGUCGCCGGCGGAGAAA